UUGACAUCCAGAGAACUUAGCAGAGAUGCUUUGGUGCCUUCGGGAACUCUGAGACAGGUGCUGCAUGGCUGUCGUCAGCUCGUGUUGUGAAAUGUUGGUUAAGUCCGCAACGAGCGCAACCCUUAUCCUUUGUUGCCAGCGGUUCGGCCGGGAACUCAAAGGAGACUGCCGGUGAUAAACCGGAGGAAGGUGGGGAUGACGUCAAGUCAUCAUGGCCCUUACGGCCAGGGCUACACACGUGCUACAAUGGCGCAUACAAAAGAGAAGCGACCUCGCGAGAGCAAGCGGACCUCAUAAAGUGCGUCGUAGUCCGGAUUGGAGUCUGCAACUCGACUCCAUGAAGUCGGAAUCGCUAGUAAUCGUAGAUCAGAAUGCUACGGUGAAUACGUUCCCGGGCCUUGUACACACCGCCCGUCACACCAUGGGAGUGGGUUGCAAAAGAAGUAGGUAGCUUAACCUUCGGGAGGGCGCUUACCACUUUGUGAUUCAUGACUGGGGUGAAGUCGUAACAAGGUAGGCGUACGUGU
Molecule: ribosomal RNA, 527 nt
Filed under: uncultured bacterium
Lineage: Bacteria
Description: bacterial SSU rRNA
Rfam family: Bacterial small subunit ribosomal RNA
Source: RNAcentral